RNAcentral lists this unclassified non-coding RNA (167 nucleotides) under Penaeus japonicus. RNAcentral describes it as "pro-resilin-like, transcript variant X6". Lineage: Eukaryota; Metazoa; Arthropoda; Malacostraca; Decapoda; Penaeidae. The record is from RNAcentral.
AUCUCAACAUGAACACGAAGAUCUUCAUCCUCUUGGGUCUGGCAGCUGUUGCUGUUGCAGACAGCUUCGAAUCCUACGAAUACCGACCACCACAAAGACGCUAUUCCUCUGAGGAAUCCUACGAAUCCGGAGAGGCCAAAUACGACUUCAACUGGGCUGUCAGGCAC